GAAGAAGAGAGAUGGAAUCCAGCGAUUUCGACAGUUUUACAGAUUUUAAUAUCGAUUCAAGCGCUGGUGUUGAACGAGAAGCCGUAUUUCAACGAACCGGAACUAGAAGAAGAAGCGGAGGCAGAGAUUUACUCAGAUGCUUACAAUAAGGAAGCGUACUUGUUCUGUUGCAAGAUGAUGAUGAGAUUGAUGAAGAAUCCGCCGAAGAAUUUCAAGGAAUUUGUGAGGAAUUACUUUGGGGAGAAAGGGAAUAAGAUACUGGCGGCGUGCAAGGCUUAUUCGGACGGCCGGAUUAGGGUUGGGCGGUUCAAUGAAAAGGAAAAUAGUGAAAGUGAAAGUGAUUAUUGU
This 348-nucleotide unclassified non-coding RNA is filed under the name Hevea brasiliensis (rubber tree). The record is from RNAcentral. Lineage: Eukaryota; Viridiplantae; Streptophyta; Magnoliopsida; Malpighiales; Euphorbiaceae.